AGAGUUUGAUCCUGGCUCAGGAUGAACGCUGGCGGUAUGCCUAACACAUGCAAGUCGUACGAGAGUUUUUAACUCAAGUGGCGGACGGGUGAGUAACACGUGAGAAUUUGCCUUUAGGAGGGGGACAACAACUGGAAACGGUUGCUAAUACCCCAUAUGCUUUCGAGUGAAAUGAAUUUAUUCGCCUGAAGAGAAGCUCGCGGCUGAUUAGCUUGUUGGUAGGGUAAUAGCCUACCAAGGCGACGAUCAGUAUCUGGUUUGAGAGGACGACCAGACACACUGGAACUGAGACACGGUCCAGACUCCUACGGGAGGCAGCAGUGGGGAAUUUUCCGCAAUGGGCGAAAGCCUGACGGAGCAAUACCGCGUGAGGGAA
Molecule: ribosomal RNA, 376 nt
Filed under: uncultured marine bacterium
Lineage: Bacteria
Description: bacterial SSU rRNA
Rfam family: Bacterial small subunit ribosomal RNA
Source: RNAcentral